GAUGAAGAACGUAGUGAAAUGCGAUAAGUAAUGUGAAUUGCAGAAUUCAGUGAAUCAUCGAAUCUUUGAACGCACAUUGCGCCCAUUAGUAUUCUAGUGGGCAUGCCUGUUCGAGCGUCAUUUCAACCCUUAAGCCUAGCUUAGUGUUGGGAGACUGCCUAAUACGCAGCUCCUCAAAACCAGUGGCGGAGUCUGUUCGUGCUCUGAGCGUAGUAAUUUUUUAUCUCGCUUCUGCAAGCCGGCCAGACGACAGCCAUAAACCGCACCCUCUCGGGGGGCACUUUUUUAAUGGUUGACCUCGGAUCAGGUAGGAAUACCCGCUGAACUUAAGCAUAUCAAUAAGCGGAGA
Molecule: unclassified non-coding RNA, 349 nt
Filed under: soil metagenome
Description: partial contains 5.8S ribosomal RNA, internal transcribed spacer 2, and large subunit ribosomal RNA
Rfam family: 5.8S ribosomal RNA (bases 1-120)
Source: RNAcentral